CGCGAAGAACCUUACCUGGUCUUGACAUCCACAGAACUUUCCAGAGAUGGAUUGGUGCCUUCGGGAACUGUGAGACAGGUGCUGCAUGGCUGUCGUCAGCUCGUGUUGUGAAAUGUUGGGUUAAGUCCCGCAACGAGCGCAACCCUUAUCCUUUGUUGCCAGCGGUUCGGCCGGGAACUCAAAGGAGACUGCCAGUGAUAAACUGGAGGAAGGUGGGGAUGACGUCAAGUCAUCAUGGCCCUUACGACCAGGGCUACACACGUGCUACAAUUGCAUAUACAAAGAGAAGC
This 290-nucleotide ribosomal RNA is filed under the name Pseudomonas aeruginosa. Its description in RNAcentral is "partial 16S ribosomal RNA". It matches the Rfam family "Bacterial small subunit ribosomal RNA", at positions 960 to 1250 of the family's 1533-position model. Lineage: Bacteria; Pseudomonadati; Pseudomonadota; Gammaproteobacteria; Pseudomonadales; Pseudomonadaceae. The record is from RNAcentral.